RNAcentral lists this ribosomal RNA (895 nucleotides) under uncultured bacterium. RNAcentral's name for it is "bacterial SSU rRNA". It matches the Rfam family "Bacterial small subunit ribosomal RNA", at positions 505 to 1398 of the family's 1533-position model. The record is from RNAcentral.
GUGUCAGCCGCCGCGGUAAUACGGAGGGUACAAGCGUUAAUCGGAAUUACUGGGCGUAAAGCGCGCGUAGGCGGCUAAGUAAGUUGGAUGUGAAAGCCCUGGGCUCAACCUAGGAACUGCAUUCAAAACUAUCUAGCUAGAGUACGAGAGAGGAAAGUAGAAUUUCUGGUGUAGCGGUGAAAUGCGUAGAUAUCAGAAGGAAUACCAAUGGCGAAGGCAGCUUUCUGGCUCGUCACUGACGCUAAGGUGCGAAAGCGUGGGUAGCAAACAGGAUUAGAUACCCUGGUAGUCCACGCCGUAAACGAUGAGAACUAGCCGUUGGGAGGAAUUAACCUUUCAGUGGCGCAGCUAACGCAUUAAGUUCUCCGCCUGGGGACUACGGCCGCAAGGCUAAAACUCAAAUGAAUUGACGGGGGCCCGCACAAGCGGUGGAGCAUGUUGUUUAAUUCGAUGCAACGCGAAGAACCUUACCUACCCUUGAAAUCCAGCGAAGUUCUUAGAGAUAGGAAUGUGCCUUCGGGAACGCUGUGACAGGUGUUGCAUGGCUGUCGUCAGCUCGUGUCGUGAGAUGUAUGGUUAAGUCCAGUAACGAGCGCAACCCCUAUCCUUAUUUGCCAGCGCAUAAUGGCGGGAACUAUAGGGAGACUGCCGGUCAAAAACCGGAGGAAGGCGGGGACGAGGUCAAGUCAUCAUGGCCCUUAUGGGUAGGGCUACAAACGUGCUACAAUGGAUGGUACAACAGGUUGCCAAAGCGUGAGCUGGAGCCAAACCUCUAAAACUAUUCUUAGUCCGGAUUGGAGUCUGCAACUCGACUCCAUGAAGUUGGAAUCGCUAGUAAUCGCGAAUCAGAAUGUCGCGGUGAAUACGUUCUCGGGCCUUGCACACACCGCCCGUC